RNAcentral lists this ribosomal RNA (467 nucleotides) under uncultured bacterium. RNAcentral describes it as "partial 16S ribosomal RNA". It matches the Rfam family "Bacterial small subunit ribosomal RNA", at positions 28 to 506 of the family's 1533-position model. The record is from RNAcentral.
GACGAACGCUGGCGGCGUGCUUAACACAUGCCAGUCGAACGGAAAGGCCCUGCUUUUGUGGGGUGCUCGAGUGGCGAACGGGUGAGUAACACGUGAGUAACCUGCCCUUGACUUCGGGAUAACUUCAGGAAACUGGGGCUAAUACCGGAUAGGAGCUCCUGCUGCAUGGUGGGGGUUGGAAAGUUUCGGCGGUUGGGGAUGGACUCGCGGCUUAUCAGCUUGUUGGUGGGGUAGUGGCUUACCAAGGCUUUGACGGGUAGCCGGCCUGAGAGGGUGACCGGCCACAUUGGGACUGAGAUACGGCCCAGACUCCUACGGGAGGCAGCAGUGGGGAAUAUUGCACAAUGGGCGGAAGCCUGAUGCAGCAACGCCGCGUGCGGGAGGACGGCCUUCGGGUUGUAAACCGCUUUCGCCUGUGACGAAGCGUGAGGGACGGUAAUGGGUAAAGAAGCACCGGCUAACUACGU